ACGUACGCUGGCGGCACGCCUAACACAUGCAAGUCGAACGAAGUAGCAAUACUUAGUGGCAGACGGGUGAGUAACAUGUAGGUAUCUGCCCUUUGGCCUGGAAUAACACGAGGAAACUUGUGCUAAUACCGGAUAAGUCUUUACGGAGAAAGCUUUAUGCACCAUUGGAUGAGCCUGCACUUGAUUAGUUUGUUGGUGGGGUAAUGGCCUACCAAGACUGUGAUCAAUAGCUGAUUUGAGAGGAUGAUCAGCCACAUUGGGACUGAGACACGGCCCAAACUCCUACGGGAGGCAGCAGUGGGGAAUCUUGCACAAUGGAGGAAACUCUGAUGCAGCGAUGCCGCGUGAGUGAAGAAGGCCCUUGGGUUGUAAAGCUCUUUCGUCGGGGAAGAAAAUGACUGUACCCGAAUAAGAAGGUCCGGCUAACUUCGUGCCAGCAGCCGCGGUAAUACGAAGGGACCUAGCGUAGUUCGGAAUUACUGGGCUUAAAGAGUUCGUAGGUGGUUGAAAAAGUUAGUGGUGAAAUCCCAGAGCUUAACUCUGGAACUGCCAUUAAAACUUUUCAGCUAGAGUAUGAUAGAGGAAAGCAGAAUUUCUAGUGUAGAGGUGAAAUUCGUAGAUAUUAGAAAGAAUACCAAUUGCGAAGGCAGCUUUCUGGAUCAUUACUGACACUGAGGAACGAAAGCAUGGGUAGCGAAGAGGAUUAGAUACCCUCGUAGUCCAUGCCGUAAACGAUGUGUGUUAGACGUUGGAAAUUUAUUUUCAGUGUCGCAGGGAAACCGAUAAACACACCGCCUGGGGAGUACGACCGCAAGGUUAAAACUCAAAUGAAUUGACGGGGACCCGCACAAGUAGUGGAGCAUGUGGUUUAAUUCGAAGAUACGCGCAGAACCUUACCAACACUUGACAUGUUCGUCGCGACUCUAAGAGAUUAGAGUUUUCGGUUCGGCCGGACGAAACACAGGUGCUGCAUGGCUGUCGUCAGCUCGUGUCGUGAGAUGUUGGGUUAAGUCCCGCAACGAGCGCAACCCUCACUUUUAGUUGCCAUCAUUAAGUUGGGCACUCUGAAAGAACUGCCAGUGAUAAGCUGGAGGAAGGUGGGGAUGACGUCAAGUCCUCAUGGCCCUUACGUGUUGGGCUACACACGUGCUACAAUGGUAUCUACAACAGGAAGCAAGACGGCGACGUCAAGCAAAUCCCUAAAAGAUACCUCAGUUCGGAUUGCACUCUGCAACUCGAGUGCAUGAAGCUGGAAUUACUAGUAAUCGUGGAUCAGCGUGCCACGGUGAAUGCGUUCCCGGGUCUUGUACACACCGC
RNAcentral lists this ribosomal RNA (1317 nucleotides) under uncultured Alphaproteobacteria bacterium. RNAcentral describes it as "bacterial SSU rRNA". It matches the Rfam family "Bacterial small subunit ribosomal RNA", at positions 29 to 1393 of the family's 1533-position model. Lineage: Bacteria; Pseudomonadati; Pseudomonadota; Alphaproteobacteria. The record is from RNAcentral.